RNAcentral lists this ribosomal RNA (328 nucleotides) under Streptococcus sp. RNAcentral's name for it is "partial 23S ribosomal RNA". It matches the Rfam family "Bacterial large subunit ribosomal RNA", at positions 2599 to 2925 of the family's 2925-position model. The record is from RNAcentral. Lineage: Bacteria; Bacillati; Bacillota; Bacilli; Lactobacillales; Streptococcaceae.
CGCGAGCUGGGUUCAGAACGUCGUGAGACAGUUCGGUCCCUAUCCGUCGCGGGCGUAGGAAAUUUGAGAGGAUCUGCUCCUAGUACGAGAGGACCAGAGUGGACUUACCGCUGGUGUACCAGUUGUCUUGCCAAAGGCAUCGCUGGGUAGCUAUGUAGGGAAGGGAUAAACGCUGAAAGCAUCUAAGUGUGAAACCCACCUCAAGAUGAGAUUUCCCAUGAUUUUAUAUCAGUAAGAGCCCUGAGAGAUGAUCAGGUAGAUAGGUUAGAAGUGGAAGUGUGGCGACACAUGUAGCGGACUAAUACUAAUAGCUCGAGGACUUAUCCAA